UACGAAGGGGCUAGCGUUGCUCGGAAUCACUGGGCGUAAAGCGCACGUAGGCGGAUCUUUAAGUCAGAGGUGAAAUCCCAAGGCUCAACCUUGGAACUGCCUUUGAUACUGGGGAUCUCGAGUCCGGAAGAGGUGAGUGGAACUGCGAGUGUAGAGGUGAAAUUCGUAGAUAUUCGCAAGAACACCAGUGGCGAAGGCGGCUCACUGGUCCGGUACUGACGCUGAGGUGCGAAAGCGUGGGGAGCAAACAGG
This 252-nucleotide ribosomal RNA is filed under the name uncultured bacterium. Its description in RNAcentral is "partial 16S ribosomal RNA". It matches the Rfam family "Bacterial small subunit ribosomal RNA", at positions 524 to 776 of the family's 1533-position model. The record is from RNAcentral.